Molecule: ribosomal RNA, 502 nt
Filed under: uncultured bacterium
Lineage: Bacteria
Description: partial 16S ribosomal RNA
Rfam family: Bacterial small subunit ribosomal RNA
Source: RNAcentral
GAUGAACGCUAGCGGCAGGCCUAACACAUGCAAGUCGAGGGGCAGCACAGAAACAGCAAUGUUUUGGUGGCGACCGGCGGACGGGUGCGUAACGCGUAUGCAACCUACCUUUAACAGGGGGAUAACGGAGAGAAGUUUCCACUAAUACCCCAUAACAUCGAUCAAGGCAUCUUGAUUGGUUGAAAACUCCGGUGGUUAAAGAUGGGCAUGCGUUGUAUUAGGUAGUUGGUGAGGUAAUGGCUCACCAAGCCUACGAUACAUAGGGGGACUGAGAGGUUAGCCCCCCACACUGGAACUGAGACACGGACCAGACUCCUACGGGAGGCAGCAGUGAGGAAUAUUGGUCAAUGGGGGCAACCCUGAACCAGCCAUGCCGCGUGCAGGAAGACGGCUCUAUGAGUUGUAAACUGCUUUUAAACAGGGAUAAAGCACAGUAUGUAUGCUGUGUUGAAGGUACUGUAAGAAUAAGGAUCGGCUAACUCCGUGCCAGCCGCCGCAGUAA